Molecule: ribosomal RNA, 420 nt
Filed under: Chloroflexota bacterium
Lineage: Bacteria; Bacillati; Chloroflexota
Description: Chloroflexi bacterium partial 16S ribosomal RNA
Rfam family: Bacterial small subunit ribosomal RNA
Source: RNAcentral
UGGGGGAUAUUGCACAAUGGGCGAAAGCCUGAUGCAGCGACGCCGCGUGGGGGAUGAAGGCUUUCGGGUUGUAAACCUCUUUCGCUAUCGAACAAGGCCCGCUUAGGGUGGGUUGAGGGUAGGUGGAGAAGAAGCGCCGGCUAACUACGUGCCAGCAGCCGCGGUAAUACGUAGGGCGCGAGCGUUGUCCGGAAUUAUUGGGCGUAAAGGGCUUGUAGGCGGCUUGUUGCGCCUGCUGUGAAAACGCGGGGCUUAACUUCGCGCGUGCAGUGGGUACGGGCAGGCUUGAGUGUGGUAGGGGUGACUGGAAUUCCAGGUGUAGCGGUGGAAUGCGCAGAUAUAUGGAGGAACACCAGUGGCGAAGGCGGCUCUCUGGUCUGUAACUGACGCUGAGGCUCGAAAGCGUGGGGAGCAAACAGG